RNAcentral lists this ribosomal RNA (1434 nucleotides) under uncultured organism. RNAcentral's name for it is "16S ribosomal RNA". It matches the Rfam family "Bacterial small subunit ribosomal RNA". The record is from RNAcentral.
GAUGAACGCUAGCUACAGGCUUAACACAUGCAAGUCGAGGGGCAGCAUGGUCUUAGCUUGCUAAGGCCGAUGGCGACCGGCGCACGGGUGAGUAACGCGUAUCCAACCUGCCUUACACUCUUGGACAGCCUUCUGAAAGGGAGAUUAAUACAAGAUGUUAUCAUGAGUAAGCAUUUUCGCAUGAUUAAAGGUUUACCGGUGUAAGAUGGGGAUGCGUUCCAUUAGAUAGUAGGCGGGGUAACGGCCCACCUAGUCUUCGAUGGAUAGGGGUUCUGAGGGGAAGGUCCCCCACAUUGGAACUGAGACACGGUCCAAACUCCUACGGGAGGCAGCAGUGAGGAAUAUUGGUCAAUGGACGAGAGUCUGAACCAGCCAAGUAGCGUGAAGGAUGAAGGUUCUAUGGAUUGUAAACUUCUUUUAUACGGGAAUAAACGGAUCCACGUGUGGAUUUUUGCAUGUACCGUAUGAAUAAGGAUCGGCUAACUCCGUGCCAGCAGCCGCGGUAAUACGGAGGAUCCGAGCGUUAUCCGGAUUUAUUGGGUUUAAAGGGAGCGUAGAUGGGUUGUUAAGUCAGUUGUGAAAGUUUGCGGCUCAACCGUAAAAUUGCAAUUGAUACUGGCAGUCUUGAGUACAGUUGAGGUAGGCGGAAUUCGUGGUGUAGCGGUGAAAUGCUUAGAUAUCACGAAGAACUCCGAUUGCGAAGGCAGCUUACUAACCUGUAACUGACAUUGAUGCUCGAAAGUGUGGGUAUCAAACAGGAUUAGAUACCCUGGUAGUCCACACGGUAAACGAUGAAUACUCGCUGUAGGCGAUAUACAGUCUGCGGCCAAGCGAAAGCAUUAAGUAUUCCACCUGGGGAGUACGCCGGCAACGGUGAAACUCAAAGGAAUUGACGGGGGCCCGCACAAGCGGAGGAACAUGUGGUUUAAUUCGAUGAUACGCGAGGAACCUUACCCGGGCUUAAAUUGCAACCGAAUAUGGCGGAAACGCUAUAGCUAGCAAUAGCGGUUGUGAAGGUGCUGCAUGGUUGUCGUCAGCUCGUGCCGUGAGGUGUCGGCUUAAGUGCCAUAACGAGCGCAACCCUUGCCGAUAGUUACUAACAGGUCAUGCUGAGGACUCUGUCGGGACUGCCAUCGUAAGAUGUGAGGAAGGUGGGGAUGACGUCAAAUCAGCACGGCCCUUACGUCCGGGGCUACACACGUGUUACAAUGGGGGGUACAGAGGGCUGCUACCACGCAAGUGGACGCCAAUCCCAAAAACCUCUCUCAGUUCGGAUUGAAGUCUGCAACCCGACUUCAUGAAGCUGGAUUCGCUAGUAAUCGCGCAUCAGCCACGGCGCGGUGAAUACGUUCCCGGGCCUUGUACACACCGCCCGUCAAGCCAUGGGAGCCGGGGGUACCUGAAGUGCGUAACCGCAAGGAGCGCCCUAGGGUA